CCGUGUUUUCGUAACGGGCAGACGACAGAAUUCACUUUAAAUUAACAUUGGUUCUUAUGGGAGUGUUCACCCAUCGGCAGAAAGUUGAGCAGAAAAAAAGAACUGUUCAAAUCAGAGACGAACUGUCGUUCAUUUUGCCGUUCAUUUUAAGGCCUAUCAACACAAUGCUAUUUUACUUCGACCGAUCACUGCUCGUGAACCGUUUUGUCGAAAAAGAACUAAUUUCGGGAUUCUGUCGACGGGAACAGACAGCUUCGAAUUUAUUUUUCUGCUCUGAUCACGUGACACCAGCAGAAUAAUCUUUCUCCGGAUCAGACGCCAUGUUCUUUUUAACCUCAAUCUUUAAUUGUUGGAUGGUUUGUUUUGAUAUUGGUUGUCAGAUUUCGGAUUGCCACUAUCAUACUGUGAAAUUAAUUUGCAGUGGAAAAUUGAGGUAUAAAAUAUUUCUAUUGGUUUCUUUAUUCUUAUAAUUUUUACAAGAGAAAUUGAAAAUGGAUUUACAACAGAAAGGCGUGAAAUUUUCGAAGUUCAAAGUUUUGUACUUUCCAGACCUGCACAACGAAUUACCUAUUUGAAAAAUAGAAUAUGGUUAGAAAUUGCUGAUGUAAUAGAGGAUUCAAGUACCAUUUACAAACAAAAUAUUGAAGAGAAUGUGCUCAAAGGAAAUGCAUAUGAAUUCUUUCUUGUUGACCAGGAUGGAACAAUUCUUUGGAACCUAUAGUUAGAAUAAGUUAGUUAGGCCUAGUGAUGUACCAGCCAGAAGUAGAGGAUGACAAAGAAAAUCAACUAUGAAUAAUAUUCCAUGGAUAUGAUUCAUGUAUGAUGUAGUAGCCUACAGAAGAAAGAGAUGGACUAAUCUAAGAAAUAUAUUCAUUUUU
This is a long non-coding RNA of Nilaparvata lugens (brown planthopper), 878 nucleotides long. RefSeq lists it as uncharacterized. The record is from RefSeq and is a predicted model, not a curated record. NCBI's taxonomy places the organism in Eukaryota, Metazoa, Arthropoda, Insecta, Hemiptera, Delphacidae. The transcript is spliced from 3 exons.